This 253-nucleotide ribosomal RNA is filed under the name uncultured bacterium. RNAcentral describes it as "partial 16S ribosomal RNA". It matches the Rfam family "Bacterial small subunit ribosomal RNA", at positions 524 to 776 of the family's 1533-position model. The record is from RNAcentral.
UACGAAGGGGACUAGCGUUGUUCGGAAUUACUGGGCGUAAAGCGCACGUAGGCGGAUGUGUCAGUCAGGGGUGAAAUCCCGGGGCUCAACCUCGGAACUGCCUUUGAUACAGCACGUCUUGAGUCCGAUAGAGGUGGGUGGAAUUCCUAGUGUAGAGGUGAAAUUCGUAGAUAUUAGGAAGAACACCGGUGGCGAAGGCGGCCCACUGGAUCGGUACUGACGCUGAGGUGCGAAAGCGUGGGGAGCAAACAGG